UCAAUGCCUCUGGAUUUUAUUUUGACUCUCUAUUUGCUACAGAGACUUAAGCCAAUUAAUCAGUCAUCCUGAUAUGAUUUUCAAAAUGCCAGAUUUACAUAUUCUAAUUAUUAUGGGUGUUUGGCUCUUUUCCUAUUCAUGUCUUCCAAGUACAUAUUUCUCCCUGUGCAGGUUUUGGUUAUUAUAAUACUAUAAAGGUACUUGGUGCUUUAAUAACUUGUUUAAAGAUUUAUUUUUAUUUUUAUUUUAUGCGUAGGGGAGUUUUAACUGCAUGUACACAAGUGCACCACAGGUAUAAAGUUCCCAAAGAGGCCAGAAGAGGGCACCAGUUCCCCCUAGAACUGGAAUUAGAUGUGGUUGUGAGCUGCCUUGGAUGCUGGGAACCAAACUCAGAGCUUUUAACUACUAAGCCACCUACCCAGAUCUGUCAUAAUAACUUUAAAAGGUGUGGUCAUUUUUUUUGUUUGACUUUUUUUGUUGGUUUUUUUUCUUCAGUUUUUGGGGGGAGGGUUGUUUUGUUUUGUUUUGUUUUGUUUUGUUGGACAGGUCUUAACCCAGGCUGGCCUCAAGCUUCUCACCCUCCUGACUCCCAGGCAUGCCAAACAAACACAACCAGCUCUCAUGACUUUUUUAAAUUGGCCAUUCUUGCUCAUUUUAAAUCUCACAUUAUUAUCUAGAAACAUUUUGUCAGUUUUUUAAAAAUGUAUAGGGCUGGCAAUAUAGCUCAGCUGAUAGAGCACUAGCCUAGCAUGCUGUAUAAAGGCAGGUAUGUUCGAUGUCUAGCUAGCACUGCAUAAACUCAGGGCAGUGGUGCAGGUCUGUGAUCCCAGCACUUGGGAGGAGGAAACACAGAGUCGGAAGUUCAAGGUCAGCCUCAACUUCUUAGCAGGUUCAAGAUCAGGAGACAACGAUGCGAAACAAGAAAAAAUAAACACGUAGGAAUUAUCUCUAGAAUUUCAUAAAAUGUGUAGGUAUUGUUGGAGAGAGCAUACAUCUUUAUACUAACACUUGUCCCCAUCUGGGAAUAUGAUGCAUCUCUCCAUUUACCUGUUGGAAACUGCAGGGGAAGCUGCCACUUUCGGUAAGUGGUGGUGAUUUGUGUCUGUUGUUGAUUUUAUUCCCAGCUGUCUCGUGAAGGUCUUUAGCAGUCUUUAUUGCUCUCUUAUUAUAAACAGGCUCUUUCCCUCCCUUUGCGUUUUGUAGCUGGUCUUUGCUUGUCAAUUCUAAGAGUGACAUUCAGAGUGUAUUCCCCUUAUAAACCCAUUGAACCGUCCUCAGUAUACUACUCUCACAGGCUAAUCCUCGGCUGUGGGUGAGACACUCCAUCACUGGCAAUUACAUUGGCUUCCUUGUUUUAUUUCCUGCCCCUCUGUGGUUUGGUUUUGGUUUUUUCCCUUCCGUGGUUCCUGGUCUUCCCAGGUAGAUAGUUCGAAUUUCAAUGCUAAUGUUUUAUCUUUUGGUAAAAUUCAUUUCAGAAUUUCUCUUCACUUUAGUGAUGUCACUUAUGUAAUAUAUGAGGUUUGGGUUGUUUUUUGUUUUUUGUUUUUAAUGUCCCUUGCUUAUGUUCCCUACCUCUGGAGCUCUAAGUGCCAUGGUCAUGGUCCCCUUCCCUGCUUAGCUAUGUCAGAGGUUUGUGAGGUUCUGUUGCUCUGGGGAAUUCUUAUUGCUCUAGAUGGAUCAGUGCUUCUGUGGAGUUUGUUCCUAUUUAAUUAGCCACUGCUUUUAUUUCAUACAUUCUCUCUUCUGUUGCUUCUUCAAAGUACUGUAUUUUUCUUGUCCUGACAUCUUGAGCAGAGAGCAUUGUUGCUGCUUUUCCCUGGGCAAGAAUGCACGCGUUGACAGUGGUGUGCUCCGUCUGCAUAUGCUUGUAGCAGUGUAUUCAUUUGGACUUCGUGCCAUUCGUUUUGAUAUACACUAGUUGAGACAUACUAUUUUAAUACUUGAUACUCUUUUUGCCCAAGAGUUAAGAAUGUCUCUUCUGGGGCUAAUGAAAUGGCUCAAUGGUUUAGACCUCUUGUUGCUCUUGACGAAGACCUAGGUUCAACUCCCAACACCUACCAUCUGUCACUCCAGUCCCAGAAAGCUAGCCUAAUUCUUGGCCUCCUGGGAGGGAAACUCCAUCAUGUGCUUCCUUGUUCUAUUUCCUGCUCCUCAUGGUUUUUCCUUUGAUUUCCUUCUCUGAUUCCUGGUCUAUCCACGUAGAUGCCUUUGACUUCCUUCUCUGAUUCCAGGUAGAUGGUUUGAAUUUCAAUGCUAAUAUUUUAUCUUUGGGUUUUUAUGCUAAUCGUCUUAGUAAUUAUUUUUGACUCAUAAACUUCUCACCCACGUCCUGACAUUGGCCUCGGUCCUUACCUCAUUGACAGUAGUCAACUGGAGUCGGCCAGCCAUUCCCUAGCAGUUCCUCUUUGCUAGCUCCUGGCUUCUCCCUUUCAGUUCUUUCCUUCACUGAGGCUCAGCGCACACACACACACACACACACACACACACACACGUCACCUUGCAGAUUCACAAAUGCCUUCCCCUGGCAUGGCAUGGGAACACCAACUUUCUUGCAAAUCAAAUUAGAGGUCU
Molecule: long non-coding RNA, 2571 nt
Filed under: Mus musculus (house mouse)
Lineage: Eukaryota; Metazoa; Chordata; Mammalia; Rodentia; Muridae
Description: long non-coding RNA chr4:128467926-128470497
Source: RNAcentral